Molecule: long non-coding RNA, 1760 nt
Organism: Papaver somniferum (opium poppy)
Lineage: Eukaryota; Viridiplantae; Streptophyta; Magnoliopsida; Ranunculales; Papaveraceae
Exons: 10
Source: RefSeq, a predicted model, not a curated record
UUCUUCUUCCUUUACUCAUCCCCAGAAUCAGAAGACAAAAACCCAAUUCUCCUCCUCUGCUCUAAACCUACCGCCACCAUCUCCAUCGCUACGAUCACUUUCUUCAUAAUCCCACCACCACCACCACCACAGAUGCAACGUGUAGUAUUGAAAUCUUCAUCGCCGCCGCCGCCGCCGCCGGAUCAAGAACAAAUAGAUCUAGUAAUUGGAUUGAUUAUCUUCUCUCCUUUUGGAUUUGUAUUUUCGUGAUACAAAUCAAAGUUCAAGUUACGUCGAUUCCUAAAUUGGUGAUGGAGAUUAAAGGUGAUUUAGGUGAUUAUCUUUCUUCUCUUGUUUAAGUUUAUGCUGGUAGUGGUGGUAUUCUGAGUUGAUUGUUGUUAUUGUUGGUGGUGGUGGUGAGGGUAGGAUGAUGAGAUAGGUGAGGGAGAUAGUGGAGAUUCUGGAAGUUGAGGUGGUGGUGGAGAUUUGGUGUGAUUUUGGUGGUUGGGAGAUGGUGGUGGUGAUUUCUUUUGGCUGUGAAGGAAGAAGUGUAUCCAAAAGAUGAUGAGAUGAUUUCCCAUAUGAAUCAAUUGGACUUUACAAGCAUGGAUUGAUGGCACAUCAUAUGUAGACUUCAUUGCCAUUGUAAUUAAGGGAUGCUAGAAAGACUGUUAGGGAUAGUUCAUUUGGUCCUUGGGGAUUCAUUUGCCAUCUUGAAAUUUAGUUUAAAGACACCUCAAGGCGACCUUAUUACUAUAAGAAACCAUUGUAGAAUGUGUGAAGGAUUUAGUUUCUGGUCCUCUGAGUUUGACCUUAAGAGUAUAGAUCAUUGACAAGAUAUGAAAUAUUGUUGUAAAGUAUGCUGUUUUGGAGAUGCUUGUGAGUGGUGUUACCAAGAAAGUGCAGUGGGCUUAUGGGUGUUGGUGGUGUUGGAAUUGGUGGUUAGCUGGUUGACCGAUCACAACUGCUCUGUGGGGAAGGUAAAAAUGGUUGUUGCAGAUAUUAUAUUUUGUAUCUUAAGAAUCUCUCAUGCCAUUUCUGAUUCAAUUACCGUUAGGGAGAUGCAAAGUGUUGACUAGCGGUAGUGCUGGAAUUGGUGGUUAGCUGGUCAUGAUUUUGAUUUUAGUGAACUGAAUGAAGUGCUUAAACACUAUUCAUAAGAGCAUCAUGAAGUUGAUAAGGAAGGCUAACCAGUUUAUAUUUUGAUUCGAUCUCUUCCAUAGAUUUUCAGGUCCUUCACCAAAGACUGUUAUCAACCAAUAUACAGAACUCAUUGGUCGUCCUGCUCCUGUGCCGUACUGGGCAUUUGGAUUUCAUCAGUGCCUAUACGGAUAUCAAAAUGUAUCUGUUCUCGAGGAAGUAGUUGUUGGGUAUGCAAAUGCCAGUAUCCCUCUUGAUGUAAUGUGGACAGAUAUCGAUUACAUGGAUAAGUACAAGCUUUUCACUCUUGAUCCCAUGAACUUCCCAGCAGACAAAAUGAAUGCUUUUGUGGAUAAACUUCACGAAAAUGGCCAGAAGUAUGUUGUCAUUUUUUGGAUCCUGGAAUUGGCAUUAAUAACACAUAUGGAACAGGAAUUGAAGCAGAUACAUUCAUCAAGUAUAGCGGUAAACCUUAUCAAAGCUAGUUGCCUCCAGAUCCGCAGAGGUUGUGGUGGUGGUUAGCGGCGGUGGCGGUGGGAAGUGGUGGCGCUUUGUUGUUGGUUUUGGUUGUUGGCGGUGACGGUAGUUGGCGGUGACGGUGGUUGGUGGUAGUCAUCGGUGGUGGUUGGCAGCGGCGGUGG